AAAGGAAUUGACGGGGCCCGCACAAGCGGUGGAGUAUGUGGUUUAAUCCGAUGCAACGCGAAGAACCUUACCUGGACUUGACAUCCUGCGAAUCCUCUAGAAAUAGAGGAGUGCCCUUCGGGGAAUGCAGUGACAGGUGCUGCAUGGCUGUCGUCAGCUCGUGCCGUGAGGUGUCGGGUUAAGUCCCGCAACGAGCGCAACCCCUAUCACUAGUUGCCAUCACAUAAUGGUGGACACUCUAGUGAGACUGCCCGGGUUAACCGGGAGGAAGGUGGGGACGACGUCAAGUCAUCAUGGCCCUUACGUCCAGGGCUACACACGUACUACAAUGGUGGAUACAAAGGGUUGCCAAGCCGCGAGGCCGCGCCAAUCCCAAAAAGUCCAUCCCAGUCCGGAUCGCAGUCUGCAACUCGACUGUGUGAAGUUGGAAUCGCUAGUAAUCCCGGAUCAGCAUGCCGGGGUGAAUACGUUCCCGGGCCUUGUACACACCGCCCGUCACACCACGAAAGCUGGUUCUACCCGAAAUCAACGGACUAAUCCCCUUGGGG
RNAcentral lists this ribosomal RNA (548 nucleotides) under uncultured Desulfovibrio sp. RNAcentral describes it as "bacterial SSU rRNA". It matches the Rfam family "Bacterial small subunit ribosomal RNA", at positions 903 to 1448 of the family's 1533-position model. The record is from RNAcentral. Lineage: Bacteria; Pseudomonadati; Thermodesulfobacteriota; Desulfovibrionia; Desulfovibrionales; Desulfovibrionaceae.